Molecule: non-coding RNA, 23 nt
Filed under: Arabidopsis thaliana (thale cress)
Lineage: Eukaryota; Viridiplantae; Streptophyta; Magnoliopsida; Brassicales; Brassicaceae
Source: RNAcentral
AAGUGUCUCAUCUCUGCAAAGUG